RNAcentral lists this ribosomal RNA (468 nucleotides) under uncultured bacterium. RNAcentral describes it as "partial 16S ribosomal RNA". It matches the Rfam family "Bacterial small subunit ribosomal RNA", at positions 28 to 507 of the family's 1533-position model. The record is from RNAcentral.
GACGAACGCUGGCGGCGUGCUUAACACAUGCAAGUCGAACGGAAAGGCCCUGCUUUUGUGGGGUGCUCGAGUGGCGAACGGGUGAGUAACACGUGAGUAACCUGCCCUUGACUUUGGGAUAACUUCAGGAAACUGGGGCUAAUACCGGAUAGGAGCUCCUGCUGCAUGGUGGGGGUUGGAAAGUUUCGGCGGUUGGGGAUGGACUCGCGGCUUAUCAGCUUGUUGGUGGGGUAGUGGCUUACCAAGGAUUUGACGGGUAGCCGGCCUGGGAGGGUGACCGGCCACAUUGGGACUGAGAUACGGCCCAGACUCCUACGGGAGGCAGCAGUGGGGAAUAUUGCACAAUGGGCGGAAGCCUGAUGCAGCAACGCAGCGUGCGGGAUGACGGCCUUCGGGUUGUAAACCGCUUUCGCCUGUGACGAAGCGUGAGUGACGGUAAUGGGUAAAGAAGCACCGGCUAACUACGUG